GAGCGUUUGAAUAUUUUGUGCCGUGGGUCAGGAACAGGUAGCAAAGGACGCCGAAUGGAGGCCGCCAUCUUGGUUUUGGUGAGUUGUUUUUUACUUUUUGACUAUUUUGUUGUUUUCUCUACUUCACAACGGCUGCUUUCACGGCCAGUUUGGUCAGCUUGGCAGCCCGCUAACCUCGAUGAUGGAGUACUGGUAGAUGAUCUCGGACGUAGUUCAGAAGAUGACAGGAAGCGUUAUCAGGACCAAAGCCGUGAGGCAGUGAAAUGAAGGUCGUAUCACCCAACAGCCUAGGAUACAGCCCUCGGACGUUAAUCGGCAUGACACUCCCCAUAAUAGACAAUGGUUUUGGAGGCAUGUUAACGCGGGUACGCCAACUACUACGUCUCUCUGUACGGCAUGGAUUGG
Molecule: long non-coding RNA, 405 nt
Filed under: Mytilus galloprovincialis (Mediterranean mussel)
Lineage: Eukaryota; Metazoa; Mollusca; Bivalvia; Mytilida; Mytilidae
Source: RNAcentral